UUAAGAAUUUUUAGCAUUGCUUUAAUAUUCUCAAUUCAUUUGUAAAAUUAAAAGAUAAAAAUAUAUGGCUAAAAUUCUCAAAUUUCUUUAUGCUAUAGUUUUGUUUUUCUCCCUAUUCUUUCUUUUAGCGGCUAGCUUUCCAUGUGAAACUGAUGAAGAUUGUAGAAAGGUGUAUAGCGGGGAGAAGUUUGAAGCCCAAGUCACGUGCGUUCACAGAACCUGUUAUUUCGUUAUGGUCUUAUAAGGAAUAUUAUCUUAUGGUAGAAUAUUUCAUAAGCUACCAUUAAGGUUUUAUGUUUCCAACCAAGAAUUGUAACUUUAUAUAUUUUUGAAAUUAUGAGUUUUUCUCCAGAAUAUCGAUAAUAAAAUGAAAACGAUAAUAAAACUUACUAUAA
This is a long non-coding RNA of Vicia villosa (hairy vetch), 395 nucleotides long. RefSeq lists it as uncharacterized. The record is from RefSeq and is a predicted model, not a curated record. Lineage: Eukaryota; Viridiplantae; Streptophyta; Magnoliopsida; Fabales; Fabaceae. The transcript has 2 exons.